CGAUGAACCUCACUUCGGGAGGGGAUUAGUGGCGAACGGGUGAGUAACACGUGGGCAAUCUGCCCUGCACUCUGGGACAAGCCCUGGAAACGGGGUCUAAUACCGGAUACUGAUCAUCUUGGGCAUCCUUGGUGAUCGAAAGCUCCGGCGGUGCAGGAUGAGCCCGCGGCCUAUCAGCUUGUUGGUGAGGUAAUGGCUCACCAAGGCGACGACGGGUAGCCGGCCUGAGAGGGCGACCGGCCACACUGGGACUGAGACACGGCCCAGACUCCUACGGGAGGCAGCAGUGGGGAAUAUUGCACAAUGGGCGAAAGCCUGAUGCAGCGACGCCGCGUGAGGGAUGACGGCCUUCGGGUUGUAAACCUCUUUCAGCAGGGAAGAAGCGAAAGUGACGGUACCUGCAGAAGAAGCGCCGGCUAACUACGUGCCAGCAGCCGCGGUAAUACGUAGGGCGCGAGCGUUGUCCGGAAUUAUUGGGCGUAAAGAGCUCGUAGGCGGCUUGUCGCGUCGGUUGUGAAAGCCCGGGGCUUAACCCCGGGUCUGCAGUCGAUACGGGCAGGCUAGAGUUCGGUAGGGGAGAUCGGAAUUCCUGGUGUAGCGGUGAAAUGCGCAGAUAUCAGGAGGAACACCGGUGGCGAAGGCGGAUCUCUGGGCCGAUACUGACGCUGAGGAGCGAAAGCGUGGGGAGCGAACAGGAUUAGAUACCCUGGUAGUCCACGCCGUAAACGGUGGGCACUAGGUGUGGGCGACAUUCCACGUCGUCCGUGCCGCAGCUAACGCAUUAAGUGCCCCGCCUGGGGAGUAC
This 805-nucleotide ribosomal RNA is filed under the name Streptomyces sp. RNAcentral describes it as "bacterial SSU rRNA". It matches the Rfam family "Bacterial small subunit ribosomal RNA", at positions 67 to 883 of the family's 1533-position model. Lineage: Bacteria; Bacillati; Actinomycetota; Actinomycetes; Kitasatosporales; Streptomycetaceae. The record is from RNAcentral.